UCUUCCCUUCGGGGCUGGUGCACAGGUGCUGCAUGGCUGUCGUCAGCUCGUGUCGUGAGAUGUUGCGUUAAGUCGCGCAACGAGCGCAACCCCUGUCCUUAGUUGCCAUCAUUAAGUUGGGCACUCUAAGGAGACAAACCCUCUCUGAGGGUGGGAAGGUGGGGAUGACGUCAAGUCAGGAUGGCCCUUACGGCCAGGGCUGCACACGUGCUACAAUGCACGAUACAGAGGGAAGCUACUCCGCGAGGAGAUGCAAAUCCCGAAAAUCGUGCCCAGUUCAGAUUGUAGUCUGCAACUCGACUACAUGAAGUUGGAAUCGCUAGUAAUGGCGCAUCAGCUACGGCGCCGUGAAUACGUUCCCGGGCCUUGUACACACCGCCCGUCACGUCAUGAAAGCCGGUUUCGCCCGAAGUGCGUUUGCUAACCAGCAAUGGAAGCGGCGCCCUAAGGUGAAGCUGGUGAUUGGGACGAAGUCGUAACAAGGUAACCGUAGGGGAACC
This 500-nucleotide ribosomal RNA is filed under the name uncultured bacterium. RNAcentral's name for it is "bacterial SSU rRNA". It matches the Rfam family "Bacterial small subunit ribosomal RNA", at positions 1012 to 1512 of the family's 1533-position model. The record is from RNAcentral.